RNAcentral lists this transfer RNA (77 nucleotides) under Rhodoferax sp. Its description in RNAcentral is "tRNA-Arg". It matches the Rfam family "tRNA". Rfam says of the family: Transfer RNA (tRNA) molecules are approximately 80 nucleotides in length. Their secondary structure includes four short double-helical elements and three loops (D, anti-codon, and T loops). RNAcentral also lists the same sequence under 8 other names. The record is from RNAcentral. Lineage: Bacteria; Pseudomonadati; Pseudomonadota; Betaproteobacteria; Burkholderiales; Comamonadaceae.
CAGCCAGUAGCUCAUCCGGAUAGAGCACGAACCUUCUAAGUUCGGGGUAGGGGGUUCGAGUCCCUCCUGGCUGGCCA